UACAGGAACAAGCAUAUAGGCAGGACGAGUAGUGGCAGGAGUGUCCACAUCUACUGCAUCCAUUUCUUCGCUUGCUUGGUGGUGGCCAUUGCUUGAUCCAUACACACACGUCGAGGCAGAGGAAGUAUAAGGCGAAAAGGAGAGGAGUUGUCUUGUGAUGGCAUGCAUCAACAUGUUCAACUCGGAUCACCAAAGCCUCUGUGGCAUGCCGGCAGCGCCACGCAUCUCGUUCUCCAGUGACUUCGCCGUGGAGCCGCCGGCGACGCGCACCCCCGGGCCGCCGCCUGACCCCAACUUCGAGUUCGCGGUGGGCAGCCAUUCGAUGAUCGACGCGGAUCAGCUCUUCUUCAAGGGCCGGUUGCUUCCUUUCAGGGACAGCCACCAAGGCGGGCCGCAGCGGAUCACCACCUUAAGGGAAGAACUCAGGGCCAACGACGAGGACGGGGUCCAGUUGGAGCGGCCGCCGAGAGGAACCAUCAAGUGGAAGGAGCUCCUUGGGCUGAAGAAGUCUCAUUGCAGCUCGGCCGGGGCAGCAGCAUCGGAGGUGGUGGCAAAGAAGAGCCAUAAGAAGAACGAAGACGAGCUUCCCGUCAAGCCUACACAGGAACUACGAGGGCACGGCGAAGCCAAUUUUAGUACCUGAAGUGAUGACUGUUGAAGGUGCUAAAGCGGCAAAGACAGACGUUGCAGCAGUGUUCAGUGUUUCUUCUUCAUCUUGUUGAAGCUGUGGUUCUUAUGGUGGAGAGUGGUGAUGACUUGUAGGUACUGGGAUUUGAAGGAAAACACUCCUUUUGUUUUUCCUAGUAGGGAGUAAUGGAAAAGCUAGCUAAUUGUGGUUUGUCUGUGAGCGGCUUCUAGCUGGGGAAUCAAUUGUGUGAUGCUGAAUCUGAGUUCAGAUCUGUACAGAUGAGGAGGCUCCUUCUGUGGCUUUUUAUCUCCUCCUUUCUUGUUUGGUUCCACUCGGUUGGGGAACAGAUGUGCCUUUGUCCUUGAGUUCGAGUUGUGAUAAAGAGAAUAGAGACAAAGACUGAGGAGUUCAUUUUAAGUUUUUGACUGUGUUUCCCAUCUCCAAUGCAAUGUUCGUUUAAGAGUGUCGCUUCCUCUUGUUAUCAGCUCACAGUGUGGCUGAUGGCAAAGAAGACAAGAACUGGUGGGUAAUGAGUGAGGAAAAUGACCAGUACUGUUCUGAUCUCUGGAAACUAAGACAAAGGGAGUCACUUGGGAAAUGAGCUCAAUCUUUUUUCCUUGAUGGCAAUGGUUUUAUUUGGAACAAAAAUAAGUUAUAUAAAGUUGAACACUUCAGCAGGCUUUGGACAGAAGAAGAAUGCAACACAAAAGUACAGAACAGAGUGAGCUCAUUUUCAUCAAGAACAUUACUGACAAAUGUUUCAGCUU
RNA transcript from Musa acuminata AAA Group (dessert banana), 1395 nucleotides. RefSeq lists it as uncharacterized. The transcript is spliced from 3 exons. Lineage: Eukaryota; Viridiplantae; Streptophyta; Magnoliopsida; Zingiberales; Musaceae. The record is from RefSeq and is a predicted model, not a curated record.